Ooceraea biroi (clonal raider ant) is the source of this 2389-nucleotide long non-coding RNA. RefSeq lists it as uncharacterized. NCBI's taxonomy places the organism in Eukaryota, Metazoa, Arthropoda, Insecta, Hymenoptera, Formicidae. The record is from RefSeq and is a predicted model, not a curated record.
AAAACAAUUUUAAUAUAUGUAUAGCAAUGUUUGAUACAAAAGUGUUUGAAACUCAAACGCUUUUCCACUUACGUUUGAUAAGUCAAACAUUAUUUCUGCUUAAAUGUGUAUAAUUCAAACACUUACGACGAAUCCAUUUUUAGUUUUUUAAUCGACUAAAAUGCGGAUGAAUAAAUGUUCUCACGGAUAUCUCCAAUGCUAUUCAGAGAAAACAUCUUCGACAGUAAAUUUUAUUUUCUUAUGCAUUAUUAUUCGCAUCGACGUAUUUCUUAUUUACCUUGCGCUAAGUAAUUAACGUAAUUGAUGCGCAAAUUGUUUAAAAGAACCAUCGAUUGCUCAAGAAUAUCAUUAAAUACAAUUCUCUUCCUGUUAUAAGGAAAACUAUUUUCACAUUUCUUGAUACUAACAACGCGGAUAAUUUUUAAUGCGUUGCUGGCGUCUGUCACAGGUUUUAAUUCAUCUACGGUUCGCUAGCGAGUUAUUUAUUUGUGGCACGUAUCCGUGACAUUUUGCAGCUGCAACUAUGAAUUACGAGUGCGGGCAGAGAUUUAAAUGAAAAUUGACGAUGACAAAUCGUCGAAUUUCGUCAAAAUAAAAUAUCUCUGUAUUUGUUCUCGUGCGCUUCUCUCUUCCGAUAUAACCACAUCGCUCUUUUUUUAUAUUAUUUUUAUAUUAUUUUUUUAUAUUAAGUGCCUUUCUAUCAUAACAUCAAUUUAUCUAUGUAUUUUUAAUAAUUCACUUCUAUAAAUUUACAGACAAAAAUUCAAUUUACAUGAGAAAGUCCGCUUUGCAUCGCACGUCUUACCUAAGAAUUCGCCUGCUGCGUGUAUGCAUAGUCGUGCAGGUGCUGUAAAGUUUCUACCAAGUAUCCGGCGUUUAACGAUGAGUUCCCCACUAGCGUUCUCUCGCUUGUAGUGGUUCGGGAGACGCGCGGUAGCGCAUCGUCGAGGAUAAGGGCAUAAAUUCGCACCCACCUCGCGGCAUAUAUCGUCGCGUACUUUAUGCUCGCUCCCGACUACUAUAUCUUUGCGUCUGACGUGAGAGAGGCGUCGUAAGGAUCGCGCGAGGAAACGCAGCGAGCAUUUCAAUUGCUUACUUCGAUGCGUUCGGUUGCGCUCUUGCAAACGAAAGGAGUGCGCCUCGCCUCUUUCGCCCGCUCUAGAAUUUGCAAUUCCCACACGCGUAACAUCGAAACUGAAGCGCGUGUAUGUCCAUAUUUCCGUUCCUGCUACACGCAUCUCCCUUUGAAUUCGACACGGGGAAAAAAGGCCAAAGCCGCGUGCCGAGGGAGAAUAACGCGGCCGAUAACGCCGCCACGAUGGAUUCUCGGUGGAGCAGUUUACGAAGUCGUACACGCUGCGGGAAGUAAACUCGAAGAGGGCUUAUCUUGAGGCCAGAUAACAGCAAGAAUAACAAAAGUGAAGACGCAGGUUCGACAUGUUGAUUUUACUUCGCCGUUUCCCGGUGGUGACCCUUUCGUUUGAGAAUUAUUCAAGAUUUGACACGCCAUAUCUUACUCUUCCGUUACACAAGAAAUAAUUUGUAUUAUCCGUAAUCAAAAAUCUGAGAGAGAGAAAAAAUAUUACAUUCGACACGUUAAGCUACGUCAAAUGCGGAGUUAAACACUGUGAAAAAGACUUGCAAAUGCUAAUUCAUGAGAGGAAAGAAAUCUUGACGUGCUAGUCAUUUAUCAUGGCUUGCAUGACGAAUGUGAACAGAUUAUUACAGACAUUACAUGAAGCUAUACGUGAGACAUUCUCUGUAAAGAAACAAUUCUUGGGAUUUUGCGUAAGACUCGGCAAGUUGAAUGAUGAUCAAAUUCCAGCCGUUUGGGUUGGAGAAUUGCAAUUAAUCAUUUAUUAUUUCACGUGACGGAUAAGGAUAGAUUUCGUGGGCCAUUACGCUCGCACGUAUGACGCGUUACUAGUAGUAAGCGCCAAGAACUCGAAGAACGUCCUCGCGAUUUUCCUUUCACCGGCAGUCCACGAGCAGUCCGCUACGCCGGGACGAAAUGGGAGAGGGGGCUCUCUCCUUGAGCCGAGAAUUUCCUUUUGUCGGUGUCGCGAAACGGACCCAGUGUCACAAAAGCUCGAAUAACGCGCGCUUCCCCGGGAAGUUUCUCCUCCUCCAUCUCUUCUCCGUCUCUCUGUCGCGCUUUUCAAAACUUGUAUCCGAGCUAGCGACUCCACACAUGAAAGGUGAGCAGUCAAUACUGGCCGCAGUCCAUAUCGACCGAUCGGACGCGGUGGGCCGUAAGUGAGCCAUCGAUCGAAUCAGUGAUCCCGAGCGUAGAUCGACAGGAUCCCAUUUCUCAUCGGAUGGAAGUGUGAGUGCAAGUGCGAACACGCGAGGGAGGAAAAACGCAAGAAAGUGGAACGGAACAGACCAA